UACGGGGGGGGCAAGCGUUGUUCGGAAUUACUGGGCGUAAAGGGCUCGUAGGCGGCCAACUAAGUCAGACGUGAAAUCCCUCGGCUUAACCGGGGAACUGCGUCUGAUACUGGAUGGCUUGAGUUCGGGAGAGGGAUGCGGAAUUCCAGGUGUAGCGGUGAAAUGCGUAGAUACUGGGAGGAACACCGGUGGCGAAGGCGGCUACCUGGACCGGUUCUGACGCUGAUGCGCGAAAGCGUGGGUAGCAAACAGG
This 253-nucleotide ribosomal RNA is filed under the name uncultured bacterium. RNAcentral's name for it is "partial 16S ribosomal RNA". It matches the Rfam family "Bacterial small subunit ribosomal RNA", at positions 524 to 776 of the family's 1533-position model. The record is from RNAcentral.